CUUUCUAUCCCACAUAGUUCAGACAAAAC
Non-coding RNA from Sulfurihydrogenibium azorense Az-Fu1, 29 nucleotides. NCBI's taxonomy places the organism in Bacteria, Pseudomonadati, Aquificota, Aquificia, Aquificales, Hydrogenothermaceae. The record is from Rfam.